Long non-coding RNA from Pelmatolapia mariae (spotted tilapia), 588 nucleotides. RefSeq lists it as uncharacterized. The transcript is spliced from 3 exons. The record is from RefSeq and is a predicted model, not a curated record. NCBI's taxonomy places the organism in Eukaryota, Metazoa, Chordata, Actinopteri, Cichliformes, Cichlidae.
CUUUGAUGGCAGCGGCACAGUUGACCAUGAGUGGUGUCACAACUACCAAAGGCUUAGUUAUGAUUUUGACUCUGCUGUGUCUGCUCCAUCUUUCAAGUGCACUGAUAAACAAGGACGAACUGGAGGACCUGAAGGAAAAAGUUGAAACAUUACAAAAGUUAAUAGCAAGAAGGAAGGCUGAAAAUAAUUUAGACAGAGCCUAUGUUCCAGCUAUCUUUUAUGAUUUUGGACGUCUCAUGGAUCCUUUGACUGAAGUUAUGAAGCCAUUGUUGAUUUCUACAUCACUGCUUAGACCAGUGUUGGAUUUAAUGGAUGACCUAAAGACUUUCAUGGGAGCCAGCAAGGAGUACAUGGAUAAGUACUUUGAGACAACAGCUGCAGAAAUCAAUGACAAUGAAGAGAAACUACGCAGUGUGAUGGCAACACUAACACAACUAGAAAAUAAUAAAGAUGAACUGUAGCAUGUUAGUCAGCGUCUGUCUCUGGUAUUAAAUGUUCUGUAUCUGUAAAACUUCUCUUUCAUACUGUGCUGCCUCAAAAUCAAAGCUAACUGUACACUUGACUUGUAAACUUUGACAAGAAAAUUUA